UAUCUGCUGGUUUUCUGCCCCCACCGCCCCACCCCAAAUUGGUAAACUCGCCGAAUCCGAUCGCUCCGUGUGGUGAUCACGUUUUUCCAGUCACAAGGCUCACCAUAUGGAUCACGAAUCCGUAUGUGAAACUUCUGAAAAACCCUUGGAAAACUUCAUGUGCUCCCACAACCAUGUGUCAAUGGCCCUUGUUCUGAACCCAAUUUUCCAUGCCAUCACAGUUGCUAGCUUGCUUUUAUCUGCAGCUUUGCUCAAAAAACAAACCCAAGUGGUAAAUCGCCGCAGCUUGUUGACUCCAGCUGGUUGAAUCACCACUGGCGGCGGUUAAAAACUAGCGGAACGAUCACCAUAGAACCAAUUGCUAAUGUUUUCCAUUGAAAAAUCUUCCUCUGAUUAUAUUCCUCAUGCUUGUGGCUAGUACCCCUGUUCAUUUUACAAUUGAGAAUGUCUUAUUACUUGUACUGUGUGCAGAAGGCUGAUUAAGAGUGAGGCUGAGCACUGUCACCAUUCUCUCAUGCUGUUGAUCAAAGGGAAUGUCCCUCUAGUACUUCCUUUGUUAGUACACAAAAAUGAUUCAAGCCCUGCUUAAGAGGUCUCAAUUCCAUGGGAGACUUUCUUUUCCUUAAACUCUUCAUGUCUUAGCAUGUGGCUGUAAUGGUGUGGACAACGCUGCUGCGUGAAGAAAUUGUGUAAAUCAGGGUUUGAUGCUGCAAGUGCGUAUCCGAAUGCUGUCACAAACUAGCAUUUUUGGUUUUUGGUAUUUUGGAUAAUUUAAACGCUGAUAUUUUUGGAUUUGAUGAUUUGAUACUUCUACAUGCCAUGAUUGUAUGUAUGUUUUAAAAAGUACAAAAUAAUUGUAAUUUAAUUUAUUGCCAAAGUUGAAAACAA
This 888-nucleotide long non-coding RNA is filed under the name Physcomitrium patens. Its description in RNAcentral is "long non-coding RNA (PPAT_LNC006259)". Lineage: Eukaryota; Viridiplantae; Streptophyta; Bryopsida; Funariales; Funariaceae. The record is from RNAcentral.